GACGAACGCUGGCGGCGUGCUUAACACAUGCAAGUCGAACGCUGAAGCACCAGCUUGCUGGGGUGGAUGAGUGGCGAACGGGUGAGUAAUACGUGAGUAACCUGCCCUUGACUCUGGGAUAAGCUCGGGAAACUGGGUCUAAUACUGGAUGCUACAUGUCACCGCAUGGUGGUGUGUGGAAAGGGUUUACUGGUCUUGGAUGGGCUCACGGCCUAUCAGCUUGUUGGUGAGGUAAUGGCUCACCAAGGCGACGACGGGUAGCCGGCCUGAGAGGGUGACCGGCCACACUGGGACUGAGACACGGCCCAGACUCCUACGGGAGGCAGCAGUGGGGAAUAUUGCACAAUGGGCGGAAGCCUGAUGCAGCGACGCCGCGUGAGGGAUGACGGCCUUCGGGUUGUAAACCUCUUUCAGCAGGGAAGAAGCCACAAGUGACGGUACCUGCAGAAGAAGCGCCGGCUAACUACGUG
This 470-nucleotide ribosomal RNA is filed under the name uncultured bacterium. Its description in RNAcentral is "partial 16S ribosomal RNA". It matches the Rfam family "Bacterial small subunit ribosomal RNA", at positions 28 to 507 of the family's 1533-position model. The record is from RNAcentral.